AGAGUAAAAUAGUACGUGAAAUUGUUGAAAGGGAAACGAUUGAAGUCAGUCGUGCAGGCGCGAAAUCAGCCCCGUUGCUAGUAACCUCAAGGGCGUGGCGAGCCUCAAAACCGCCACGGCCUUGCGACUACGAGCAACGAGGUGCACUUUUGUGUCAGCUGGUUAACAUCAAUUUCGAUUGUCAUAAAAAGGCUGGAGGGAUGUGGCUCCUUCGGGAGUGUUAUAACCUUUGGCGGAAUGUGGUGGACGAGAUUGAGGAUUGCAACGAAUACCUUUAGGGCUGUUCCACCUGGCCUCUCAUUGGUAUCAUGGCGGCGACAGCUUGCUGACGUUGUUAGGAUCCGCCUUUGAACAGGCUAGAGUGUGAGCAAAUUCGUUAAGGAUGUUAACGUAAUGGCUUUAAACGA
RNAcentral lists this unclassified non-coding RNA (407 nucleotides) under uncultured Glomeromycotina. RNAcentral's name for it is "sequence contains 28S rRNA gene". The record is from RNAcentral. Lineage: Eukaryota; Fungi; Glomeromycota.